This 86-nucleotide non-coding RNA is filed under the name Actinomycetota bacterium. RNAcentral describes it as "Actinobacteria bacterium c-di-GMP sequence". It matches the Rfam family "c-di-GMP-II-GAG riboswitch aptamer". Lineage: Bacteria; Bacillati; Actinomycetota. The record is from RNAcentral.
UUUCAAACGGGAAAGCGUUGAUCCACAGUGGCUAAGCUGGUUACCUACGCUGUGGGGAGCAAGUGGUGAAACCGGCCCGAUCAUCA